CUCAAAGAAAGGGCUGUAACCAC
RNAcentral lists this non-coding RNA (23 nucleotides) under Cricetulus griseus (Chinese hamster). Lineage: Eukaryota; Metazoa; Chordata; Mammalia; Rodentia; Cricetidae. The record is from RNAcentral.